GUGAAAUUGAACUCGCUGUGAAGAUGCAGUGUACCCGCGGCAAGACGGAAAGACCCCGUGAACCUUUACUAUAGCUUGACACUGAACAUUGAGCCUUGAUGUGUAGGAUAGGUGGGAGGCUUUGAAGCGUGGACGCCAGUCUGCGUGGAGCCGACCUUGAAAUACCACCCUUUAAUGUUUGAUGUUCUAACGUGGACCCGUGAUCCGGGUUGCGGACAGUGUCUGGUGGGUAGUUUGACUGGGGCGGUCUCCUCCUAAAGAGUAACGGAGGAGCACGAAGGUUGGCUAAUCCUGGUCGGACAUCAGGAGGUUAGUGCAAUGGCAUAAGCCAGCUUGACUGCGAGCGUGACGGCGCGAGCAGGUGCGAAAGCAGGUCAUAGUGAUCCGGUGGUUCUGAAUGGAAGGGCCAUCGCUCAACGGAUAAAAGGUACUCCGGGGAUAACAGGCUGAUACCGCCCAAGAGUUCAUAUCGACGGCGGUGUUUGGCACCUCGAUGUCGGCUCAUCACAUCCUGGGGCUGAAGUAGGUCCCAAGGGUAUGGCUGUUCGCCAUUUAAAGUGGUACGCGAGCUGGGUUUAGAACGUCGUGAGACAGUUCGGUCCCUAUCUGCCGUGGGCGCUGGAGAACUGAGGGGGGCUGCUCCUAGUACGAGAGGACCGGAGUGGACGCAUCACUGGUGUUCGGGUUGUCAUGCCAAUGGCACUGCCCGGUAGCUAAAUGCGGAAGAGAUAAGUGCUGAAAGCAUCUAAGCACGAAACUUGCCCCGAGAUGAGUUCUCCCUGAGACUUAGAGUCUCCUGAAGGAACGUUGAAGACGACGACGUUGAUAGGCCGGGUGUGUAAGCGCAGCGAUGCGUUGAGCUAACCGGUACUAAUGAACCGUGAGGCUUAACCUUACAACGCCGAAG
This 907-nucleotide ribosomal RNA is filed under the name Salmonella enterica. RNAcentral's name for it is "partial 23S ribosomal RNA". It matches the Rfam family "Bacterial large subunit ribosomal RNA", at positions 2036 to 2925 of the family's 2925-position model. The record is from RNAcentral. Lineage: Bacteria; Pseudomonadati; Pseudomonadota; Gammaproteobacteria; Enterobacterales; Enterobacteriaceae. RNAcentral also lists the same sequence under 1 other name.